CGAGCACGCGCGUGUGGCAUAUCAAUAAGCGGAGGAAAAGAAACUAACAAGGAUUCCCUUAGUAACGGCGAGUGAAGCGGGAAGAGCUCAAAUUUGAAAUCUUCAAGGUUCUACCUUGACGAAUUGUAGUUUAAAGAAGUGUUUUCUGUUAGAUGAGUAGCAAAAGUUCCUUGGAAUGGGACAUCAUAGAGGGUGAGAAUCCCGUAUUUGGUUAUUCAUUCUAGCUUUGUGAUACACUUUCAAAGAGUCGGAUUGUUUGGGAAUGCAGUCCAAAAUGGGUGGUAAAUUUCAUCUAAAGCUAAAUAUUGGCGAGAGGCCGAUAGCGAACAAGUACCGUGAGGGAAAGAUGAAAAGAACUUUGAAAAGAGAGUUAAACAGUACGUGAAAUUGUCAAAAGGGAAGCGUUUGACACCAGUGUUGUUUUUCCGAAAAUCAAUUACGAAUGUUUUGUUUUUGAGGAGUUAUGACUUCAUCGGCUUGCUCCUUUCUUUACGAAACUUUCUUAAUGCACUUUUCGGUUAACAAGUCAACAUCAAUUUCUUUUGUUGUAAAAGGGUAUGAGGAAGGUGGCUUUCUUUUCGGAGAAAGUGUUUAUAGCCUUGUGCCUCUACAAUCGGAGAGAUUGAGGUCUGCAGCGUAGAUCCUUCGGGGUUAGAUACGUUUGUGCUAAGUUAUAGCUUUUCAUAGACAACUUGUUGACUAUGUUUAGUCUUGUAGCUUACUCGCUGACGCUAUUUUACCUACGCUUAGGAUGUUGAGUAGCGACAUACGCAC
This 774-nucleotide ribosomal RNA is filed under the name uncultured Neocallimastigales. RNAcentral's name for it is "partial large subunit ribosomal RNA". It matches the Rfam family "Eukaryotic large subunit ribosomal RNA", at positions 19 to 649 of the family's 3401-position model. The record is from RNAcentral. Lineage: Eukaryota; Fungi; Neocallimastigomycota; Neocallimastigomycetes; Neocallimastigales.